Non-coding RNA from Termitomyces sp. J132, 81 nucleotides. NCBI's taxonomy places the organism in Eukaryota, Fungi, Basidiomycota, Agaricomycetes, Agaricales, Lyophyllaceae. The record is from Rfam.
GCAUUAAUGGGGUAGUGGUAACCUGGGUCGUUGCCAACCACUGUGUUCGACCCGCCGGGAGUUCGAUUCUCUCUUAAUGCA